GACGAACGCUGGCGGCGUGCUUAACACAUGCAAGUCGAACGCUGAAGCUUGGAGCUUGCUCUGGGUGGAUGAGUGGCGAACGGGUGAGUAACACGUGAGUAACCUGCCCCUGACUCUGGGAUAAGCGCUGGAAACGGCGUCUAAUACUGGAUACGACCCAUAGAGGCAUCUCUUGUGGGUGGAAAGAUGUUUCGGUUGGGGAUGGACUCGCGGCCUAUCAGCUUGUUGGUGAGGUAAUGGCUCACCAAGGCGACGACGGGUAGCCGGCCUGAGAGGGUGACCGGCCACACUGGGACUGAGACACGGCCCAGACUCCUACGGGAGGCAGCAGUGGGGAAUAUUGCACAAUGGGCGCAAGCCUGAUGCAGCAACGCCGCGUGAGGGAUGACGGCCUUCGGGUUGUAAACCUCUUUUAGUAGGGAAGAAGCGUAAGUGACGGUACCUGCAGAAAAAGCACCGGCUAACUACGUGCCAGCAGCCGCGGUAAUACGUAGGGUGCAAGCGUUGUCCGGAAUUAUUGGGCGUAAAGAGCCCGUAGGCGGCUUGUCGCGUCUGCUGUGAAAUCCCGGGGCUCAACUCCGGGCCUGCAGUGGGUACGGGCAGGCUAGAGUGCGGUAGGGGAGAUUGGAAUUCCUGGUGUAGCGGUGGAAUGCGCAGAUAUCAGGAGGAACACCGAUGGCGAAGGCAGAUCUCUGGGCCGCUACUGACGCUGAGGAGCGAAAGCAUGGGGAGCGAACAGGAUUAGAUACCCUGGUAGUCCAUGCCGUAAACGUUGGGAACUAGAUGUAGGGCCUGUUCCACGGGUUCUGUGUCGUAGCUAACGCAUUAAGUUCCCCGCCUGGGGAGUACGGCCGCAAGGCUAAAACUCAAAGGAAUUGACGGGGGCCCGCACAAGCGGCGGAGCAUGCGGAUUAAUUCGAUGCAACGCGAAGAACCUUACCAAGGCUUGACAUAUUCGAGAACGCCCCAGAGAUGGGGAACUCUUUGGACACUCGUUUACAGGUGGUGCAUGGUUGUCGUCAGCUCGUGUCGUGAGAUGUUCGGUUAAGUCCGGCAACGAGCGCAACCCUCGUCCUAUGUUGCCAGCGGUUCGGCCGGGAACUCAUGGGAUACUGCCGUGGUCAACACGGAGGAAGGUGGGGAUGACGUCAAAUCAUCAUGCCCCUUAUGUCUUGGGCUUCACGCAUGCUACAAUGGCCGGUACAAUGGGUUGCGAUACCGUGAGGUGGAGCGAAUCCCAAAAAGCCGGUCUCAGUUCGGAUUGGGGUCUGCAACUCGACCCCAUGAAGUCGGAGUCGCUAGUAAUCGCAGAUCAGCAACGCUGCGGUGAAUACGUUCCCGGGCCUUGUACACACCGCC
RNAcentral lists this ribosomal RNA (1359 nucleotides) under uncultured bacterium. Its description in RNAcentral is "bacterial SSU rRNA". It matches the Rfam family "Bacterial small subunit ribosomal RNA", at positions 28 to 1394 of the family's 1533-position model. The record is from RNAcentral.